This 679-nucleotide ribosomal RNA is filed under the name uncultured bacterium. RNAcentral's name for it is "bacterial SSU rRNA". It matches the Rfam family "Bacterial small subunit ribosomal RNA", at positions 335 to 1022 of the family's 1533-position model. The record is from RNAcentral.
ACUCCUACGGGAGGCAGCAGUGGGGAAUAUUGCACAAUGGGCGCAAGCCUGAUGCAGCGACGCCGCGUGGGGGGUGAAGGCCUUCGGGUUGUAAACCUCUUUCAGUAGGGAAGAAGCGAAAGUGACGGUACCUGCAGAAGAAGCGCCGGCUAACUACGUGCCAGCAGCCGCGGUAAUACGUAGGGCGCAAGCGUUAUCCGGAAUUAUUGGGCGUAAAGAGCUCGUAGGCGGUUUGUCGCGUCUGCCGUGAAAGUCCGGGGCUUAACCCCGGAUCUGCGGUGGGUACGGGCAGACUAGAGUGAUGUAGGGGAGACUGGAAUUCCUGGUGUAGCGGUGAAAUGCGCAGAUAUCAGGAGGAACACCGAUGGCGAAGGCAGGUCUCUGGGCAUUAACUGACGCUGAGGAGCGAAAGCAUGGGGAGCGAACAGGAUUAGAUACCCUGGUAGUCCAUGCCGUAAACGUUGGGCACUAGGUGUGGGGGACAUUCCACGUUUUCCGCGCCGUAGCUAACGCAUUAAGUGCCCCGCCUGGGGAGUACGGCCGCAAGGCUAAAACUCAAAGGAAUUGACGGGGGCCCGCACAAGCGGCGGAGCAUGCGGAUUAAUUCGAUGCAACGCGAAGAACCUUACCAAAGGCUUGACAUGAACUGGAACAGCGCAGAGAUGUGUUGGCCGCUUGC